Molecule: long non-coding RNA, 3744 nt
Filed under: Nicotiana tabacum (common tobacco)
Lineage: Eukaryota; Viridiplantae; Streptophyta; Magnoliopsida; Solanales; Solanaceae
Description: long non-coding RNA (NTAB_LNC019089)
Source: RNAcentral
CCUCCAUUGGAGCUCUUCUACGAUCUCCAUUCCUCCUUCAAUAUGACAAUCUCGAUAUGGUAUCAAAGCUAGCAGAACACAUUCGCUUGAAAUCUGCCGGAUUUUUUUUUACUCAAAACCUCUCUUUCUCCGUCAUCUGCUAGGGUUUGCUUUCGCAACUCCGAACUGCAAUUUCUAUGCAAAGUGAAGGUAUUUUCUACAAAAUCGGUCAGUCUAUUCACUAUAUCAUUUAGGACAUUCGUCAAUUUCAUUGUUUAGGGCUUUUCUCAUGGCUAUCUAUCAAACUGAAGAACUCACCCCCAAUACGAGCAGAAAUGAUCAACCAGUCAUCGAUGCGAGCAAUCCUCUAUACAUUCAUCCUUCGGAUAGUCCCGGAAUGACGCUAGUACCAGUUCCAUUUGACGAAAUUGGGUAUAGAUCAUGGAGAAGGAGCGUAUUGAAAGCCUUGUCAGUCAAAAAUAAAUUAGGGUUCGUAAAAAGAGAUUGCAAGAAAUCUGCCCCCAAUUCACCUCAAUUUCGUCAAUAGGAGAAAUGCGACGACAUGGUAACUUCAUGGAUUCUUAAUUCACUUGCGAAGGAAAUUUUUGACAGUGUUGAGUAUGUCAAUGAUUCAGUGGAAUUAUGGAGGGAAUUGGAAGAUCGAUAUGAUCAAACAAAUUGUGUGAAGCUGUAUCAUAUUCAAAAGGAGAUCAAUGAUCUCGUUCAAGGCUCUUUGGACAUCACUGCCUAUUACACACGAAUGAAAAGGUUAUGGGAAGAAUUGAGCAAUCUGAAUGCCAAAUCUCAGUGCACAUGUGUUUGUACGUGUGGAUCAAAGGAAACUAUGCAUAAGGCAGAACAUGAUAGAUGACUUAUUGAGUUUCUAAUGGGUCUAAAUGAAGCCUACACAACAAUGCGAGGAAGCAUCUUGAUAAUGAAACCUCUACCAUCCUUGGCACAAGCCUUCUCCCUGUUAGUGCAAUAGGAAAAGCAGAGGGAAGUCAAACUAAACAAUCAAUUGAACCUUGAGUCUACUUCACUGCAAGUGAAUGCUGCACCUUCACCACAUCAAAAUCGUUUUGGAGCUCGGAAUUUUAAAACACAUUACAUGCCAACAAUAGGGGUCGACCAUUUUGUGACUAUUGUAAAAGGCCAGGCCAUACAAAGGAAAAAAUAUUACAAGCUACAUAGAUAUCCCCAGAAUAAUUCAUACAAAAAUCAGAACUUAAAUCGCACCAACACUCAACAAUUCAACCAAGGAAAUAACUCAAGUCAAACUCAAGGUCACAAAUUCAACAGAGGGAAAGGAGUUGUGGCAAAUGUACAUGGAGUCCCAGCUGAUCUGCUCCAUGAGAAGAAAGAUGAUCCAACCCUACAUGGUGAGAAUCAAAAUGUCAGCUUGACAAAAGAGCAAUACGGGCAGAUAAUGAAUUUGCUGCAACAAUUUCAGACAGGAGAAGGAUCUCCCAGCAAUGCCAAUAUCACCAGUUGUGUUGUUAACUUUGCAGGUAUUGUGGUCUGCACUUCUUCUAUUGACUUUGAGAAACCAUCAUGCAAAUGUUUUGAAUCUAAGACUGACUUUUAGAUCAUAGACUCAGGAGCCUCUAACCAUAUGACCUUCAAUAAAAUUGCACUUAGUAAUAUCACAACAUUACCAUACCCUGUAUUGAUAAGCUGGAUUUAGGGUGAAAGUACUUGAAUUUGGGGAUGUGAUACUCAGUUCUGAAAUUACUCUACACAAAGUCCUUUAUGUUCCCCCCUUUAAGUACAACCUGAUUUCUGUCAAUUCUCUUGCAACACACCUCAAGUAUAUUUUAUUCUUUACUGAUGCACUAUGUCUAUUUCAGGCCCUUUCAGUGAAGAGGCCUCAAGUGAUUGGUAGUAGCAAAGAAGGAUUAUACUACCUAUGUUACAUGUGUUUGAAGGGUAAAAGUACUGUUUCAAAUACUAAUGUGCCAAUUUUUGUUGCAAUUGUUCUAUUUCUACUAGUGUAAAUAGUGAAGUCUUCGGUAGUCCUCCUCAUUUACAUCCUCAUUCAACAAAUGUAAAUACUUCCAUUCACAAUAAUAAGAAAGAGUCUUCAAAUGUGUUAGAUAAACAUGAUGUAAAUUUCUUGUGGCAAAAUAGGCUUAGCCAUGUUCCCUUUGUUGAAAUGAGAGUAAUAUCCUCUAUACCAGCGAACUUCUCACCUAAACAACCAUUUAUUUGCUCCAUUUGCCCCAUGGCUAGACAAGCCAGACUUCCAUUUCCACAUAGAACCAAUACCUCUACUCAAAAUUUUCAAUUACUACAUGUUGAUAUAUGUGGCCCCUACUAUGUCACUACACAUGAUAAUUAUAAGUACUUCCUCACUUUAGUUGAUGAUUUUUAGUAGGUCCACUUGGACCCAUUUGUUAAGCAACAAAAGCAAUCCCUACAAACUCUUAAAGCCUUUGUAAACACGAUUGAAUAUCAAUUCAACACCUCUGUGAAAACCAUCAGAUCUGAUAAUGGACUGGAGUUUACCAAUCAUGAAGCCACCAUAUUUGAUCAAUCCAAAGACAUUAUUCACCAGAAAACCUGUCUUUAUACUCUACAACAAAAUGGGGUAGUGGAGAGGAAACACAAAUAUCUCCUUGAAACUACUAGGGCACUCAUGUUUCAAUCUAAAUUACCAACUAAAUAUUGGGGAGAAUGCAUUUUGACAACCACUUACCUGAUUAACAGAUUGCCCACCACCUACCUAAACAACAAAUGACAUUUUGAGCCCCUAUAUGACAAGAAGCUCAAUUAUUCUCACUUGAGGAGCUUUGGUUGUCUUUGUUAUCCUACUGUGCCUAAAGUGCACAGAGACAAGUUUGAGCCCAGGACAACUCCUCAUGUUUUUGUAGACUAUCCCUUUGGGACAAAGGGUUACAAAGUGUUAAGCCUAGCCACUAGAAAUAUUCAUGUUUCUAGAGGUGUAGUGUUUUAUGAAAGUGUCUUUCCUUUCUCUCUAGGGUCUAAGAAUGUCUCAUUGUACAAUGUCCUCAAAUCAGGUUCCUUUCCUACUUACAUUGAAAGUAGCAGUCCACACUCUAAUGUUCAAACUCCUACAAGUAUCACAUCUCCAGAAGUGCAUCAAUCCCCUGAAUCUUCACCUGCUAAUGAUAAUACAAUGCAUACAUCAGACAUCUCAUCCUUUCAUCAUUCUCCUAUCCCUGCAACUUCACAUGAGACUACCAGUCAUCAUUCACCAACACCUACCCAAUCAGAAACACAUAUACUAAGAAAAUCCAACAUAACACAUAAAACUCCUGCUUACCUCAAGGAUUAUAUUUGUAACCUGCCUAACACAUCUCAUCCUAAUGUUCUGCAAGGUUCACCUUCCUUAAGUGCACUUUUUUCCAAUCACAGUCAUGUUACCCCUGAUGCCCUAUGUUCUCAAAGUCAGCACUUAGUGACAAAUAUCUGUAAAGAUAGUGAGCCAUCCUCAUAUGGAGAGGCAACACUCAGUCUUGCAUGACAAACAACCAUGACAUAGGAAUUUGAGGCUCUUUAUGCCAACCACACUUGGGACUUAAUACCCUUGCUAGCUAGAAAGCAGGCAAUAGGCUGCAAAUGGGUCUAUAAAAUCAAACAUAAAGCAAAUGGUAGUAUAGAGAAUUUAAGGCUAGAUUGGUGGUGAAAGAGUAUACUCAACAAGUAGGGGUUGACUAUACAGAAACCUUUUCCCCUAUUGUAAGAUGACAACAGUUAGAGUCUUAGUUACUGUUAUUGUGAAGAAAGGCUGGGAUAUAUUUCAAC